This 82-nucleotide transfer RNA is filed under the name Microbotryum lychnidis-dioicae p1A1 Lamole. RNAcentral's name for it is "tRNA-Leu (CAA) (tRNA-Leu-CAA-1-1)". It matches the Rfam family "tRNA". Rfam says of the family: Transfer RNA (tRNA) molecules are approximately 80 nucleotides in length. Their secondary structure includes four short double-helical elements and three loops (D, anti-codon, and T loops). Further hydrogen bonds mediate the characteristic L-shaped molecular structure. tRNAs have two regions of fundamental functional importance: the anti-codon, which is responsible for specific mRNA codon recognition, and the 3' end, to which the tRNAs corresponding amino acid is attached (by aminoacyl-tRNA synthetases). tRNAs cope with the degeneracy of the genetic code in two manners: having more than one tRNA (with a specific anti-codon) for a particular amino acid; and 'wobble' base-pairing, i.e. permitting non-standard base-pairing at the 3rd anti-codon position. The record is from RNAcentral. Lineage: Eukaryota; Fungi; Basidiomycota; Microbotryomycetes; Microbotryales; Microbotryaceae.
GGGCGGAUGGUCGAGUGGUCUAAGACGCCAGAUUCAAGUCCUGGUCUCGAAAGAGGCGUGGGUUCGAGUCCCACUCCGCUCA